GCAGGAUUCAGAAGUGUAUUUAGCAUCUCUAGAACCCUCUUGCCUACUGUUGGUUGCCCAUAUAUUCAAAUAACUCAAAAGUGUUAAACCUUAUGCCAUCCUGCAAGAAAAUGUGAUGGCCCCAGGGCUACAUGUGGAUUUCUGAUGCUGGAGUUUGAAAAACUUACAUAAAUAGAUUGAUUGUUGAGAAUGGGAGCAUAUUGACAUAAGAUUCAUUCUGCCUUUUGUGAGCCAUUUUAU
RNAcentral lists this small RNA (240 nucleotides) under Pongo abelii (Sumatran orangutan). RNAcentral's name for it is "processed transcript". The record is from RNAcentral. Lineage: Eukaryota; Metazoa; Chordata; Mammalia; Primates; Hominidae.